CUGGAUGCCCCUCCCACUCUAUUACAAACUGCACACGGUAUUGGCUAGUUUCUAUCCUCGGAUCCUCUGAAGGGACUUUCGGACGUCACUGCCAUGUGGUAGUACCAUGUGACCGCUCUAUUGCGCAUGCCCCAUUAUUGCGCGGUGCAUUCAAACACGCAGACAGCGACCAUGUCACAGGACCUGCAACUUUUAAUUGGUUGACAACUUGUAAUCUGCCGUUGGAAUCCUCACAUCCCGACUCCUUUUGUCUCUAUCGUUUGGUGCGUUUUCCUAUUGUUUUGCCAGGAAUGGAAGUGGCGGUCGUUAAAGAAAAGCUUCAGUUUUAUUUAUUGUGUCAUAGAUUUGUUGUCUGAUCCCGCUUUGUCUUUUCAUUUAUGUUUUAAUAAAAUUAUAAAUAAAAUUACUUUUUUGUUUGAA
Long non-coding RNA from Xenopus tropicalis (tropical clawed frog), 420 nucleotides. RefSeq lists it as uncharacterized. The transcript is spliced from 2 exons. The record is from RefSeq and is a predicted model, not a curated record. NCBI's taxonomy places the organism in Eukaryota, Metazoa, Chordata, Amphibia, Anura, Pipidae.